This 661-nucleotide ribosomal RNA is filed under the name uncultured fungus. RNAcentral describes it as "eukaryotic LSU rRNA". The stretch from base 254 to 408 matches the Rfam family "5.8S ribosomal RNA". The record is from RNAcentral. Lineage: Eukaryota; Fungi.
GAAUAAAAGUCGUAACAAGGUUUCCGUAGGUGAACCUGCGGAAGGAUCAUUACCGAAUUGUCAACACGAGUUGUUGCUGGUCCUCAAAACGGGGGCAUGUGCACGCUCUGUUCACACAUCCACUCACACCUGUGCACCCUCUGUAGUUCCGUGGCAUGGGGGACUCUGUCCUCCUGUUGUGGUCCUACGUCUUUACACACACUCUGUAACAAAGUCUCAUGGAAUGCAUGACGCGUUUAACGCAAUACAAUACAACUUUCAGCAACGGAUCUCUUGGCUCUCGCAUCGAUGAAGAACGCAGCGAAAUGCGAUAAGUAAUGUGAAUUGCAGAAUUCAGUGAAUCAUCGAAUCUUUGAACGCACCUUGCGCCCUUUGGCUAUUCCGAAGGGCAUGCCUGUUUGAGUAUCGUGAACACCUCAACUCUCAUGGUUUGCCGUGAUGAGCUUGGACUUUGGGGGUCUUGCUGGCCUUUGGUCGGCUCCUCUCAAACGGAUCAGCUUUCCAGUGUUUGGUGGCGUCAUGGGUGUGAUAACUAUCUACGCCUGUGGUUUUCUGCCAGAUAACCUUCAGUGAUGGAGGUUCGCUGGGGCUCAUAAAUGUCUCUCUUCAGUGGAGACAGCUUUUGGACGUUUGAUCUCAAAUCAGGUAGGACUACCCGCUG